Molecule: long non-coding RNA, 787 nt
Organism: Bactrocera oleae (olive fruit fly)
Lineage: Eukaryota; Metazoa; Arthropoda; Insecta; Diptera; Tephritidae
Source: RefSeq, a predicted model, not a curated record
CAUUUUCAUCGUUCACUUCAACGAUUACAACGAAAUGAUAUUUGAACAUCAUGUCGCACAUGUGUAUAGUAAACUGACUUUCGACCCAGUAUGCAUACAAGUCUGCAUGUGAAAUGGUCUGAUUAGCUAACCAUUGCGUAACAACGCGUAGCAGUGAAAAUUUCUGUUAUAUGCGUUUUUUUUUUGUAUAUUCAAUUAGCCGAAACUUAGUUUAACAGACCAGAACAGAACAUAAAAGUCUGUUGAAUUUUGAUUUUUAUGUAUAUCCAACUUUUUCGGAAUGCCCAUAUUGGUGGCAAUGACAAUUUGGUAUUCUUUUUCUUCUCAAGAGCGAAACCGAAGAAUUCACAAGGAGCGGGAAUAAAUGUUUGACGACGAGCGACUAGUGGGGUUGGUGCGAGGCCACGAAGUAUUAUACAAAAAAAUUGCGUAGGCUACAGACUGCCGGAGAAGAAAAGGUCAGUUUGGGCUACUAUAGCAAAGGAGCUGAAAGCAACAGCGGUGAUCAACCAUAAGAGAGCAAUAUCCCAGGGAAUGCAAACGGGCAGAACGGGCGUCUGAAAAUGAGGCAAAGUCGCAAGAAAAUUUCCCUUUAUUUGAAAGUUUUAAAAUUUUUAAACAGAAAGGGAAUGAGACAUUGCAGUCAUUUGGGCAGCUAAUAUCGUCAAUUAUGAGCAAAUUCAAAUUUGAUCUCCUUUGGAUAUGUACCUAUAUAUAUAAAUCAUGUAAUAUUAAAAUACAAACGUUUUUAUAUAAAUGUUAUAAGUACCUAAACAUAUAAUGUAAA